Molecule: ribosomal RNA, 253 nt
Filed under: uncultured bacterium
Lineage: Bacteria
Description: partial 16S ribosomal RNA
Rfam family: Bacterial small subunit ribosomal RNA
Source: RNAcentral
UACGAAGGGGGCUAGCGUUGCUCGGAAUCACUGGGCGUAAAGCGCACGUAGGCGGAUUGUUAAGUAAGGGGUGAAAUCCUGGAGCUCAACUCCAGAACUGCCUUUGAUACUGGCGAUCUCGAGUCCGGGAGAGGUGAGUGGAACUGCGAGUGUAGAGGUGAAAUUCGUAGAUAUUCGCAAGAACACCAGUGGCGAAGGCGGCUCACUGGCCCGGUACUGACGCUGAGGUGCGAAAGCGUGGGGAGCAAACAGG